UGGGUAACCUGCCUCAAAGAGGGGAAUAGCCUCCCGAAAGGGAGGUUAAUACCGCAUAAUAUGUUUUAAUCGCAUGAUUUUAACAUCAAAGGAUUUUCUUCGGAACUUCCACUUUGAGAUGGACCCGCGGCGCAUUAGCUAGUUGGUGAGGUAACGGCUCACCAAGGCAACGAUGCGUAGCCGACCUGAGAGGGUGAUCGGCCACAUUGGAACUGAGACACGGUCCAGACUCCUACGGGAGCAG
Molecule: ribosomal RNA, 244 nt
Filed under: uncultured bacterium
Lineage: Bacteria
Description: partial 16S ribosomal RNA
Rfam family: Bacterial small subunit ribosomal RNA
Source: RNAcentral